RNAcentral lists this ribosomal RNA (484 nucleotides) under uncultured bacterium. RNAcentral describes it as "partial 16S ribosomal RNA". It matches the Rfam family "Bacterial small subunit ribosomal RNA", at positions 29 to 507 of the family's 1533-position model. The record is from RNAcentral.
AGUGAACGCUGGCGGCAGGCCUAACACAUGCAAGUCGAGCGGCAGCGCGGGGGCAACCCUGGCGGCGAGCGGCGGACGGGUGAGGAAUUCGUCGGAAUCUGCCUUUUUGUGGGGGAUAACGUAGGGAAACUUACGCUAAUACCGCAUACGUCCUACGGGAGAAAGUGGGGGACCGCAAGGCCUCACGCAGAAAGAUGAGCCGACGACCGAUUAGCUAGUUGGUGGGGUAAAGGCCCACCAAGGCGACGAUCGGUAGCUGGUCUGAGAGGAUGAUCAGCCACACUGGGACUGAGACACGGCCCAGACUCCUACGGGAGGCAGCAGUGGGGAAUAUUGGUCAAUGGGCGCAAGCCUGAUCCAGCCAUGCCGCGUGUGUGAAGAAGGCCUUCGGGUUGUAAAGCACUUUUGUCCGGAAAGAAAUCCCUGGAGCUAAUACCUUCGGGGGAUGACGGUACCGGAAGAAUAAGCACCGGCUAACUUCGUG